UACAGAGGGUGCGAGCGUUAAUCGGAUUUACUGGGCGUAAAGCGUGCGUAGGCGGCUUUUUAAGUCGGAUGUGAAAUCCCUGAGCUUAACUUAGGAAUUGCAUUCGAUACUGGGAAGCUAGAGUAUGGGAGAGGAUGGUAGAAUUCCAGGUGUAGCGGUGAAAUGCGUAGAGAUCUGGAGGAAUACCGAUGGCGAAGGCAGCCAUCUGGCCUAAUACUGACGCUGAGGCUCGAAAGCGUGGAUAGCAAACAGG
This 253-nucleotide ribosomal RNA is filed under the name uncultured bacterium. RNAcentral describes it as "partial 16S ribosomal RNA". It matches the Rfam family "Bacterial small subunit ribosomal RNA", at positions 524 to 776 of the family's 1533-position model. The record is from RNAcentral.